Molecule: non-coding RNA, 24 nt
Filed under: Arabidopsis thaliana (thale cress)
Lineage: Eukaryota; Viridiplantae; Streptophyta; Magnoliopsida; Brassicales; Brassicaceae
Source: RNAcentral
AUGAAUGACUAUUUCCUAAUUAGC